Non-coding RNA from Camelus ferus (Wild Bactrian camel), 73 nucleotides. The record is from Rfam. NCBI's taxonomy places the organism in Eukaryota, Metazoa, Chordata, Mammalia, Artiodactyla, Camelidae.
GGAGAGUACAGCUCAGUGGUAGGGUGUGUGCUUAGCAUGCCUGAGGUCCUGGGUUCAAUCCCCAGUACCUCCA